ACAUGGAGUUCAGAUGUGUGCACUUCAGGUCUCCAAGGUGAACAGCCUCUGGCGUGUUAGAACAAUGUAGGUAAGGGAAGUCGGAAAGCCGGAUCCGUAACUU
Molecule: long non-coding RNA, 103 nt
Organism: Chelonia mydas (Green sea turtle)
Lineage: Eukaryota; Metazoa; Chordata; Testudines; Cheloniidae
Exons: 4
Source: RefSeq, a predicted model, not a curated record